Molecule: ribosomal RNA, 340 nt
Filed under: uncultured bacterium
Lineage: Bacteria
Description: partial 16S ribosomal RNA
Rfam family: Bacterial small subunit ribosomal RNA
Source: RNAcentral
UGGGGAAUAUUGGACAAUGGGGGCAACCCUGAUCCAGCAAUGCCGCGUGUGUGAAGAAGGUCUUCGGAUUGUAAAGCACUUUCGACGGGGACGAUGAUGACGGUACCCGUAGAAGAAGCCCCGGCUAACUUCGUGCCAGCAGCCGCGGUAAUACGAAGGGGGCUAGCGUUGCUCGGAAUGACUGGGCGUAAAGGGCGUGUAGGCGGUUUACACAGUCAGAUGUGAAAUCCCCGGGCUUAACCUGGGAGCUGCAUUUGAUACGUGUAGACUAGAGUGUGAGAGAGGGUUGUGGAAUUCCCAGUGUAGAGGUGAAAUUCGUAGAUAUUGGGAAGAACACCGG